UGAAAGGCUGUUUUCACAGCCAGAAAAAGAGCACUUCAGAAAUUCU
Non-coding RNA from Loxodonta africana (African savanna elephant), 46 nucleotides. NCBI's taxonomy places the organism in Eukaryota, Metazoa, Chordata, Mammalia, Proboscidea, Elephantidae. The record is from Rfam.